Molecule: ribosomal RNA, 253 nt
Filed under: uncultured bacterium
Lineage: Bacteria
Description: partial 16S ribosomal RNA
Rfam family: Bacterial small subunit ribosomal RNA
Source: RNAcentral
UACGUAGGGCGCAAGCGUUAUCCGGAAUUAUUGGGCGUAAAGAGCUCGUAGGCGGUUUGUCGCGUCUGCCGUGAAAGUCCGGGGCUCAACUCCGGAUCUGCGGUGGGUACGGGCAGACUAGAGUGAUGUAGGGGAGACUGGAAUUCCUGGUGUAGCGGUGAAAUGCGCAGAUAUCAGGAGGAACACCGAUGGCGAAGGCAGGCCUCUGGGCCACUACUGACGCUGAGAAGCGAAAGCAUGGGGAGCGAACAGG